This 255-nucleotide ribosomal RNA is filed under the name uncultured bacterium. RNAcentral describes it as "partial 16S ribosomal RNA". It matches the Rfam family "Bacterial small subunit ribosomal RNA", at positions 524 to 776 of the family's 1533-position model. The record is from RNAcentral.
UACGUAGGGUGCGAGCGUUUAAUCGGAAUUACUGGGCGUAAAGCGUGCGCAGGCGGUUUUGUAAGCCAGAUGUGAAAGCCCCGGGCUUAACCUGGGAAUGGCAUUUGGGACUGCAAGGCUUGAGUGCGGCAGAGGAGACUGGAAUUCCUGGUGUAGCAGUGAAAUGCGUAGAUAUCAGGAGGAAUACCGAUGGCGAAGGCAGGUCUCUGGGCUGACACUGACGCUCAUGCACGAAAGCGUGGGGGAGCAAACAGG